GCCUCCUCCCUCUGGCCUGGGUGUGUGUCCCCAGGGCCCCUGUGAGUGCUGAAGUUUCCCCACUGUGGGUCCCCAGAGCUGUCUCUGCCUGGCAUGGAGCCCCCCGUGCUGUGGCCGCCCUGAGCAGCAGCGGCUAGCGGCAGGCUAUGGUGAUGGCUCCCUGCGCAUCUUCAGCGUCUCCCGCACGGCCAUGGAGCUCAAGAUGCACCCCCACCCGGUGGCACUGACCGCUGUUGCCUUCUCCACCGAUGGUCAGACUGUCCUCUCUGGAGACAAGGAUGGGCUCGUGGCUGUGAGCCACCCCCGCACAGGGACCACCUUCCGUGUGCUGAGUGACCACCAGGGCGCCCCAAUCUCUACCAUCUGUGUCACGUGCAAAGAGGUAAAGCAGCC
Molecule: small RNA, 393 nt
Filed under: Pongo abelii (Sumatran orangutan)
Lineage: Eukaryota; Metazoa; Chordata; Mammalia; Primates; Hominidae
Description: retained intron
Source: RNAcentral